AGCGUACACGGUGGAUGCCCUGGCAGUCAGAGGCGAUGAAGGGCGUGCUAAUCUGCGAUAAGCGCCGGUAAGGUGAUAUGAACCGUUAUAACCGGCGAUACCCGAAUGGGGAAACCCAGUGUGAUUCGUCACACUAUCAUUAACUGAAUCCAUAGGUUAAUGAGGCGAACCGGGGGAACUGAAACAUCUAAGUACCCCGAGGAAAAGAAAUCAACCGAGAUUCCCCCAGUAGCGGCGAGCGAACGGGGAGGAGCCCAGAGCCUGAAUCAGCAUGUGUGUUAGUGGAAGCGUCUGGAAAGGUGCGCGAUACAGGGUGACAGCCCCGUACACAAAAGCGCAUGUGCUGUGAGCUCGAUGAGUAGGGCGGGACACGUGAUAUCCUGUCUGAAUAUGGGGGGACCAUCCUCCAAGGCUAAAUACUCCUGACUGACCGAUAGUGAACCAGUACCGUGAGGGAAAGGCGAAAAGAACCCCGGCGAGGGGAGUGAAAAAGAACCUGAAACCGUGUACGUACAAGCAGUGGGAGCACAGGUUUACCUGUGUGACUGCGUACCUUUUGUAUAAUGGGUCAGCGACUUAUAUUCUGUAGCAAGGUUAACCGUAUAGGGGAGCCGUAGGGAAACCGAGUCUUAACCGGGCGUUAAGUUGCAGGGUAUAGACCCGAAACCCGGUGAUCUAGCCAUGGGCAGGUUGAAGGUUGGGUAACACUAACUGGAGGACCGAACCGACUAAUGUUGAAAAAUUAGCGGAUGACCUGUGGCUGGGGGUGAAAGGCCAAUCAAACCGGGAGAUAGCUGGUUCUCCCCGAAAGCUAUUUAGGUAGCGCCUCGUGAAUUCAUCUCCGGGGGUAGAGCACUGUUUCGGCUAGGGGGCCAUCCCGGCUUACCAACCCGAUGCAAACUGCGAAUACCGGAGAAUGUUAUCACGGGAGACACACGGCGGGUGCUAACGUCCGUCGUGAAGAGGGAAACAACCCAGACCGCCAGCUAAGGUCCCAAAGUCAUGGUUAAGUGGGAAACGAUGUGGGAAGGCCCAGACAGCCAGGAUGUUGGCUUAGAAGCAGCCAUCAUUUAAAGAAAGCGUAAUAGCUCACUGGUCGAGUCGGCCUGCGCGGAAGAUGUAACGGGGCUAAACCAUGCACCGAAGCUGCGGCAGCGAACGUAUCACCCAAGACAACUUUACGGAGUUGACGAUUGACGGAGCGAAGCGACGUCAAAGCGUUCAUUAAAGUCGAGUUGGCUUAGGGAUACGUUCGUUGGGUAGGGGAGCGUUCUGUAAGCCUGUGAAGGUGUGUCGUGAGGCAUGCUGGAGUGCUGGAGGUAUCAGAAGUGCGAAUGCUGACAUAAGUAACGAUAAAGCGGGUGAAAAGCCCGCUCGCCGGAAGACCAAGGGUUCCUGUCCAACGUUAAUCGGGGCAGGGUGAGUCGACCACUAAGGCGAGGCCGAAAGGCGUAGUCGAUGGGAAACGGGUUAAUAUUCCCGUACUUGGUGUUACUGCGAAGGGGGGACGGAGAAGGCUAUGUUGGCCGGGCGACGGUUGUCCCGGUUUAAGCGUGUAGGUGUGUGUUCCAGGUAAAUCCGGUUCACUUUAACACUGAGGCGUGACGACGAGGCACUACGGUGCUGAAGCAACAAAUGCCCUGCUUCCAGGAAAAGCCUCUAAGCAUCAGGUAACAUCAAAUCGUACCCCAAACCGACACAGGUGGUCAGGUAGAGAAUACCAAGGCGCUUGAGAGAACUCGGGUGAAGGAACUAGGCAAAAUGGUGCCGUAACUUCGGGAGAAGGCACGCUGACACGUAGGUGAAGUGAUUUACUCAUGGAGCUGAAGUCAGUCGAAGAUACCAGCUGGCUGCAACUGUUUAUUAAAAACACAGCACUGUGCAAACACGAAAGUGGACGUAUACGGUGUGACGCCUGCCCGGUGCCGGAAGGUUAAUUGAUGGGGUCAGCGCAAGCGAAGCUCCUGAUCGAAGCCCCGGUAAACGGCGGCCGUAACUAUAACGGUCCUAAGGUAGCGAAAUUCCUUGUCGGGUAAGUUCCGACCUGCACGAAUGGCGUAAUGAUGGCCAGGCUGUCUCCACCCGAGACUCAGUGAAAUUGAACUCGCUGUGAAGAUGCAGUGUACCCGCGGCAAGACGGAAAGACCCCGUGAACCUUUACUAUAGCUUGACACUGAACAUUGAGCCUUGAUGUGUAGGAUAGGUGGGAGGCUUUGAAGUGUGGACGCCAGUCUGCAUGGAGCCGACCUUGAAAUACCACCCUUUAAUGUUUGAUGUUCUAACGUGGACCCGUAAUCCGGGUUGCGGACAGUGUCUGGUGGGUAGUUUGACUGGGGCGGUCUCCUCCUAAAGAGUAACGGAGGAGCACGAAGGUUGGCUAAUCCUGGUCGGACAUCAGGAGGUUAGUGCAAUGGCAUAAGCCAGCUUGACUGCGAGCGUGACGGCGCGAGCAGGUGCGAAAGCAGGUCAUAGUGAUCCGGUGGUUCUGAAUGGAAGGGCCAUCGCUCAACGGAUAAAAGGUACUCCGGGGAUAACAGGCUGAUACCGCCCAAGAGUUCAUAUCGACGGCGGUGUUUGGCACCUCGAUGUCGGCUCAUCACAUCCUGGGGCUGAAGUAGGUCCCAAGGGUAUGGCUGUUCGCCAUUUAAAGUGGUACGCGAGCUGGGUUUAGAACGUCGUGAGACAGUUCGGUCCCUAUCUGCCGUGGGCGCUGGAGAACUGAGGGGGGCUGCUCCUAGUACGAGAGGACCGGAGUGGACGCAUCACUGGUGUUCGGGUUGUCAUGCCAAUGGCACUGCCCGGUAGCUAAAUGCGGAAGAGAUAAGUGCUGAAAGCAUCUAAGCACGAAACUUGCCCCGAGAUGAGUUCU
RNAcentral lists this ribosomal RNA (2869 nucleotides) under Salmonella enterica subsp. enterica serovar Typhimurium. Its description in RNAcentral is "bacterial LSU rRNA". It matches the Rfam family "Bacterial large subunit ribosomal RNA". Lineage: Bacteria; Pseudomonadati; Pseudomonadota; Gammaproteobacteria; Enterobacterales; Enterobacteriaceae. The record is from RNAcentral.